RNAcentral lists this ribosomal RNA (402 nucleotides) under Verrucomicrobiota bacterium. RNAcentral's name for it is "Verrucomicrobia bacterium partial 16S ribosomal RNA". It matches the Rfam family "Bacterial small subunit ribosomal RNA", at positions 355 to 776 of the family's 1533-position model. Lineage: Bacteria; Pseudomonadati; Verrucomicrobiota. The record is from RNAcentral.
UGGGGAAUUUUGCACAAUGGGGGAAACCCUGAUGCAGCGACGCCGCGUGAUUUAGAAGGCCUUCGGGUUGUAAAAAUCUUUUGUAUGGGAAGAAAAUGACAGUACCAUACGAAUAAGGACCGGCUAAUUACGUACCAGCAGCCGCGGUAAUACGUAAGGUCCGAGCGUUGUCCGGAAUCAUUGGGCGUAAAGGGUACGUAGGCGGAUAAGCAAGUUAGAAGUGAAAUCCUAUAGCUCAACUAUAGUAAGCUUUUAAAACUGCUCAUCUUGAGGUAUGGAAGGGAAAGUGGAAUUCCUAGUGUAGCGGUGAAAUGCGCAGAUAUUAGGAGGAAUACCGGUGGCGAAGGCGACUUUCUGGCCAUAAACUGACGCUGAGGUACGAAAGCGUGGGUAGCAAACAGG